Molecule: long non-coding RNA, 3040 nt
Filed under: Gallus gallus (chicken)
Lineage: Eukaryota; Metazoa; Chordata; Aves; Galliformes; Phasianidae
Description: lncRNA (ENSGALG00010015871.1)
Source: RNAcentral
UUCUGAAGAUUUCCUAUGGGCUUUUUCAAUCUUUGCACUCCAAGAUUCUGAGGCGAGUGAUGAGCUCACCAAUGUUGGUAAAAAUGAAUUUGAAAGUCUAACUGGUUAUCACUGGAUAUCACAGAUGGAGAAUAAUUACUUGACAGAUUGGCAAACUGAGAUUAUCUGCAAAUAUUAUGAGAGACAUUGGAAGCUCUUCUAAAACACGCCAUUAUUUUAAAUAGCAUUUUGCAAUUGUGGUACCUCCCUUGUGGAUACUGUGGCUGAAUAUUGCAAGUAUGAAAAACAAUGCCAUAGUUGAAGGUUUGUCGCUGAAAAGCACCACCUCGUGUUUCCUACACCCCGCUUCCCACAGCAAGACUUAUUCUAGAGUAGAAAAUAUAAAUGAAGAGGUAAUAAUUAAUGAAACGUGUCUCAAAUGCAAGAAAUCCUACACAGAGCUAUAUUGUUCACCUUUAAUCACUGCAAAUGAAAUGAUGUUUGGUGGAUUUCCUGCAGGUUACCAAGAGGCAGACGGUUAAACCUUUUGCCUUGAGAUGUGCUCCUUCUCCCAUUAUUGGCCUUCAUCUUCUGAGCUCAGCUUACAGAGAGGUCAGUUUAGUCUCUGAAAUCUAAUUUCAAGAAUAAGCCACAAACAACAAAGAAUGCUGCCAGACUCUGGUCAGUCACGACGAUAAUAGUUUUCCUCCACUCAGCAUCUCAGCUGGUGAUUAUUCUUGAUAAAUGCAAAGCCCAUCUGUACAUUAUUGUGUCCAAACAACAAACCCGUAGCCAUGAGAGCAAUGGCUUGACCAAGGUGUUGCACUCAGGUCAGGGUAAUUCCUGAUACGUGUACAGUCUGGGAGAAGAACUCAUUGAGGGCAGCCCCGCGGAGGAGGACCCACGGUCUCUGAUAGAUAAUAGGCUUGACAUGAGCCACCAGUGUGCUCUUGCAGCCCAGAAGGCCAACAGUAUCCUGGUCAGCAUCAACAGAGGGGUGGCCAGCAGGGAGAGGAAGGUGAUUAUUCCCCUCUGCUCUGCCUUCAUGAGGCCCAGUACUGCAUUCAGACCUGGGGCCUCCAGCACAAGAAAGAUGUGGAGCUGUUGGAGAAUGUCUAGAUGAGGGCCACGAAGAUGCUCAGAGGGCUGGAGCACCUCUCCUGUGAAGAAAGGCUGAGGGAGCUGGGCUUGUUCAGCCUGGAGAAGAGAAGGCUCCGGGGACACCUCUCUGUGGCCUUCCAGUACUUGAGAGGAGUUUAUAAACAGGAGGAGAACCAACAUCUCACACAGUCUAAUAGCGAUAGGACAAGGGAAAAUGGCUUUAAACUAAAAGUGGGGAGAUUUGGGUUAGAUGUUAGGCAGAAAAUCUUUACUCAGAGGGCGGUGAGGCCCUGGCACAGCUGCCCAGAGAAGCUGUGGGUGCCCCAUCCCUGGAGGCACUCAGGGCCAGGUUGGAUGGGGUCCUGGGCAGCUUGAGCUGGUGGGGGGCAGCCCUGCCCAUGGCAGAGGGUUGGGGCUGCGUGGGCUUUGUGGUCUCUUCCAACUCAAGCCAUUCUAUGGUUCUUUGAUCUAUGAUUCCUGUGGCUCUUUUCAAAAAUGCAACAAACUAUUGAUAUUUUCAGACCAGAAAGCUAAACCAAAGUGUUUCUUGCCUCCUCCUAAAAUGGUUUGAAAAAAACCCUCUGAUUCUUAAACUUAGAAAUAUUAGUCCCAUAUUCUCUGUGAGAUUAGAAUCAGAAUCACAGAAUCGCAGUGGUUGGAAGGGACCUCUGGAGAUCAUCCAGUCCAUACUCGCCUGAUAAUACCAGUUCCCAAGAGUAAGUUGCAAGAGUUAGAGGAAGAGACUCCGAAAAUCUUCUUUUCUGAUCUCCUGCAUAAUCCAGUACAGAGAAUUUCACAAAAUCAGUGGCGAAUUUCUGUCUUAUGAGCAGUGUUGGCUCCUUGUACUCCACACAGCCCUCACUCACCCCUUUUGAUGUCAGCUGAAAGGGUGCUGUUGAAUUGGAGAGGACCCGUACAGAAGACAGCAGUUCCUGGAGUCCUACAAGACUUUGUCAGGGAGAUCUUGGUAUUUUACCUCAUACCUUCUUCAAAAACGAUAAACCAGAAGACAAGUAAACUGUGUUAUAACAUGAAGGAUAAAAUCCAUAAUUCAGGACAGCACAGAAAGCACCUGGUUUCGUGCUUCAUUUCCAUUUCUAAACAUAGAAGAGAUUCACAGAAGCAUCUGCUGAGCUUUUGAAUGACUUUGGAUCAGCCGUAAGUGCCUGUAUGCCAAAAGCAAACCAAGCACACACAUGAAAACAGGCAAAUUGCAGUGACACCAGGUCAGUUUACAUCCCAAACCGAUAGCAAGUCUGCUUUGGUAACGAAUGCACCCAAUAGAAAGAAUGCAGAAACUUUGCAUGUUCUUCACAGCAUGAGAAUGCUGAACAUUAAACAGUUGCAAAAAAUAUGUACUUAACCUUUGGGUUUUAUAUCUCUGCUUUUCAUUCUCUCCGCUUAUAGAUAAGGACAGUCAGAUUAGAUGGAGAUUUGCAAGUGGUAAAAGACGUUGUUGUUCAAGGAAUAGUUUCUAUUCGUUAUGGUAAAUACUUGGUCAAAGCAAAACUUGAGAUUUUGGGAUAGCCACGUUGUGUGCCUGAGAUCAGUGAGUUACAGCCUGAGGGCCACAGCAAAAUCAGGGGAAAUUUCAGAGAGCAGAUCAGACCUUUUGGAGUGUCGUUGACUGUACAGAAGAAAUGUCUUCAUUUGCUUGGUUUGAAGGGCUCCCAGGGAAAAAAAAAAAGUUUAUAUAUAUUACCUGGAGUACAGAAAUAAUGAGAAAUGUCAAUCUUGCUCUCUGCUUGCCUGGGGGAUUUUCUUCUCCUCAGAGGGGUGCAAUAUUCACCUCUGCUGGCUAUCUGAUAAAGAAAAAUAUGUGGUUAGACUGGAAUCACAGAGCCAGGAAGAAUCAGCCAAACCUGUCGAAGGUGAUGUCAUUUGUCACCCUCCAGACAUGAAAAAGUGGACAUCCGCCUGGACCUGCCACCACCCACCACAGACACCACUGGAGUCCAUG